AACGAACGCUGGCGGCAUGCCUAACACAUGCAGGUCGAACGAGACCUUCGGGUCUAGUGGCGCACGGGUGCGUAACGCGUGGGAACCUGCCCUUAGGUUCGGAAUAACUCCCCGAAAGGGGUGCUAAUACCGGACAAUGUCUUCGGACCAAAGAUUUAUCGCCUUUGGAUGGGCCCGCGUUGGAUUAGCUAGUUGGUAGGGUAAAAGCCUACCAAGGCGACGAUCCAUAGCUGGUCUGAGAGGAUGAUCAGCCACACUGGGACUGAGACACGGCCCAGACUCCUACGGGAGGCAGCAGUGGGGAAUAUUGGACAAUGGGCGAAAGCCUGAUCCAGCAAUGCCGCGUGAGUGAUGAAGGCCUUAGGGUUGUAAAGCUCUUUUACCCGGGAUGAUAAUGACAGUACCGGGAGAAUAAGCUCCGGCUAACUCCGUG
This 433-nucleotide ribosomal RNA is filed under the name uncultured bacterium. Its description in RNAcentral is "partial 16S ribosomal RNA". It matches the Rfam family "Bacterial small subunit ribosomal RNA", at positions 29 to 507 of the family's 1533-position model. The record is from RNAcentral.